GACGAACGCUGGCGGCGUGCUUAACACAUGCAAGUCGAACGGAAAGGCCCUUCGGGGUACUCGAGUGGCGAACGGGUGAGUAACACGUGGGUGAUCUGCCCUGCACUUUGGGAUAAGCCUGGGAAACUGGGUCUAAUACCGAAUAGGACCACGCGCUUCAUGGUGUGUGGUGGAAAGCUUUUGCGGUGUGGGAUGGGCCCGCGGCCUAUCAGCUUGUUGGUGGGGUAAUGGCCUACCAAGGCGACGACGGGUAGCCGGCCUGAGAGGGUGACCGGCCACACUGGGACUGAGAUACGGCCCAGACUCCUACGGGAGGCAGCAGUGGGGAAUAUUGCACAAUGGGCGCAAGCCUGAUGCAGCGACGCCGCGUGAGGGAUGACGGCCUUCGGGUUGUAAACCUCUUUCAAUAGGGACGAAGCGCAAGUGACGGUACCUAUAGAAGAAGCACCGGCCAACUACGUGCCAGCAGCCGCCGCAG
This 478-nucleotide ribosomal RNA is filed under the name uncultured bacterium. RNAcentral describes it as "partial 16S ribosomal RNA". It matches the Rfam family "Bacterial small subunit ribosomal RNA", at positions 28 to 523 of the family's 1533-position model. The record is from RNAcentral.